Long non-coding RNA from Mirounga angustirostris (Northern elephant seal), 13194 nucleotides. RefSeq lists it as uncharacterized. Lineage: Eukaryota; Metazoa; Chordata; Mammalia; Carnivora; Phocidae. The record is from RefSeq and is a predicted model, not a curated record. The transcript is spliced from 5 exons.
GAGAGAAUGAGAUAGAGCAUGAGAGGGGGGAGGGUCAGAGGGAGAAGCAGACUCCCUGCUGAGCAGGGAGCCCGAUGCGGGACUCGAUCCCGGGACUCCAGGAUCAUGACCUGAGCCGAAGGCAGUCGCUUAACCAACUGAGCCACCCAGGUGCCCUGUUUUCAGAUUUUUAAAGGGCUGUUUUUUAAAGACUAUGCAACAGAGACCUAGGUGGCCCACAAGCCCUAAAUAUUACAAAAUUGUUUUGUCUCUUAAAAAAAGAAAAAAAACCACUACAGAUUCCUGAGUAUACUAUCCCAAUUUCCAAGAUUAAUUCAGGGCUUGUCCUGAGGCCCUCUUCUCACUAUAAUCUCUCUCUAGGAUGAUCUCUGACAUGUACAUAGCUUCACUAACAACCUUGGUGUAGUUGACUCACAACUGUACAUCCAACCCAAUUCUCCUAAUUGUGCUCAUAUAUUUCGUGGCUCCGUUGAUAUCUUCAUCUGGCUAUCGCAGUGAUACCUGAAAACUAAACUUAAGGCGCUCCUGGCUGGCUCAGUCAAUGGAGCAUGCAACUCUUGAUCUCGAGAUAUGAAGUUGCAGCCCCAUGUUGGGUGUGGAGAUUACUUAAAAAUAAAAUCUUAAAACUUAAGCAUCAUCUCCCAUUUGCAUUCUUUUUCUCAGUGAAUGGAUCAGCCAUCCAACUAGUGAUAUAAACUAGGAAGUUGGGAGCUAUCUCAGUCUUUCUUCUUGCUUACUCAUAAGUAGUCAAUAAAUCCUAACAGUUUGAACCAUGAAAUCUCUUGAAUCUAUCUACUGAUCCAUCUCUACCAGCUUAUCCUUCUCUAAGCCUUCAUUACCUCUUGCUUGAAUUGCUAAUUAAUUGGUGUCUCUAGAUCCCCUCUUUACCUCUACUCUACUUUCCACAUCACAGCCAGAAGGAUAGUUCUGAAAUACAAAUUUAAUUACAUCAUACCAUACUUCAAAUACAGUAAUGACUUCCCUGGUUCUUGAAGUGUAACUUCUUUAAUUUGGCCCAUAUGGCCUUGCAUGGUCUGACCCCUGUGUAUCGUACACAAACUGACCUUGUUCAUUCUCCCCUUUCUUUACUGCAGUUGUAUUACCCUUCUUUCAAUCCUCUGGUCAGAUGCUCUUCCCUUUUCAAUAUUUAAGACCUGUACCCUUUUCUGUAUCAUUUUGCAUAUUUAAUGAUAAUUUAUUUGUAGAACUGAAGUCAAGUGAGAACUCCCUGAGUGAGUCCAGUUUUCCUCUAUUAUGCUCUCAUUGCGUCACAUACUGCACCUUCAUAGCGUUUAUCACAAUUAUAAUCUUAUAUUUAUCGGUGCAGUGAUUAGAUUAAUGGCCAUCUCCUGCAUCUUACUUGGAUUAGGGUGUACUUCAUGUUUUCUACUCUGUCUUCAGCACUCAGUACUAUAUCUGGUACAAAUACUGAGAAUUUGAAAACAGGAGCUAGGUUAUUGUGGGGCAGGUUUUCUGUACAGGUUGGCAGAGUUCCGAAAUACUAGCGGUAGGAAUUUGCUGAGGAUAGAAAGUGAGACCUGGGAAGAGAGUUGUUUUGUAAUGCAGUGAAACAAAAAAGAUUCCUUGUUAUGUAUUGCAGAUUGGUUAUACAAGUGUUCAGUUCAGAAACUGGUGGUUGUCAUCUCAAAUAUUGAAAGUGGUGAGGUCCUUGAAAGGUGGCAAUUUGAUAUCGAGUGUGACAAGACUGCAAAAGAUGACAGUGCACCCAGAGAAAAGUCUCAGAAAGCUAUCCAAGAUGAAAUCCGUUCAGUGAUCAGACAGAUCACAGCUACGGUGACAUUUCUGCCACUAUUGGAAGUUUCUUUUACUCCUUCAUUCAUCAGAUAUAUCCUAAAUACCUACUACAUGCCAGAUGCUGUUCUGGGCACUGGGAUACAGCUGUCACAGAACCAAGGUUCAUUUGAUCUACUGAUACAUACAGACAAAGAUUUGGUUGUACCUGAAAAAUGGGAAGAGUCGGGACCACAGUUUAUUACCAAAUCUAAGGAAGUCCGUCCCUUCGUUCAUUUACUACUACAAUCCACAAAGUCAAUAGCAUGGUGGCCUACAAAAUUCCUGUCAAUGACUGAGGAUAAGAUAAGGACAGUGAUGUACUUAUAACUCUCAGAUGUGGUUUUCCUGAAACCAAGUCAACUAUAGUUGAUACAUUUUGUUUCACUGGUUAAUUUUUAGAUGGGGAAAACUUAACAUUAUACUUCUAUUGAACUGUGCAUAAUUGUUCCAUUUUUUGGUACCCGUAUGACUUUAUACAGGGUUGGUAUAAAUUAUUGCACAUUGUUCAGAAGGGAACUAGCAGAUUACAUCAGCAUUGUUAAUGUCAAUUCCUUUAAAGGUGGUAACUGUAGAUGGAAAGCUUUUGCCAUAAAGCUAAAUGCCUUCUUAAACCUUUUGGUCAAGUACCUUGAUUCGGAAUAUAGGUAGGGAGAUAUUUAAAUAUAAAAUACAGCAAAAGAAGUCCGAAAAUUCAGAGUCUUUGUUUAGAUCCUGAAAUUAUCUAAUGAUAAUCUGUAAGUAAUGAAAUACUGCUCCUGUUAGGUCCUUUUGCCAUUUAUUUUAUUUGUAUAUUUUCCGUAUUAAAAGCAUUUCCAAUUAUUUGAUUUUAAUUUAUAUAUAUAACUUGAACUUACAAAGCUAUGUAUAUUGCCACUGUUUAAAUUCCUGUGAUACAGAACACUUAAACAUUUUUUUUAUGUUUUAUAAAAUCAAGCUUUAAAUGAUGUAAUAAAGUUAAGUAUGUAUAUUUUAAUUUGUCUUAACAUAUUUUUAUAUUGGUGUGGUAUUAACACAGUUAAAUAGCAGGAUGGAUUCAGUAUAGCAAAUAAUAUCUUGUACCUACCAGGGCCUAAGAAUACAAACUUGAGUCAGUCUGGAGGUGCUUUCAAUUUAAUGGACAAGCUUUGAUUAUACCCCUUUAAUCUUAUAACUGUGGACUUAAAAUAAGCAUCAUUCUUUGUAUAAAAUAAUACAUGUCAUUUGGAAUUAAUUCAUUUUAGCAUAUGUUGGGCUGUAGAACUUUUCUAUACUCCUAGCCUUAUUGCUAGCCUAGUCUUCCUUAUUUUGCCAAGGUCAGUUGAAGGCAGACUUCUAAAAAGUCUCUUCUAAUCUCUGUUCUAAAUCUUAUCUCAUUUUGUAAUAAUUAAGUGCUUAGUAUCAGACACUGUUCUAAGCUCUUUAUAUGUAUUAACUCGUUAAUCUUCACUAUAAAGUAAAAACACAUAGCCUGUAUCCAUUCCUUCAAAAAUUACAAAGUGAACACCUGUUAACGUGCCAAGUAUUGGGAUGAAUGAAACAGGGUCCUGGCCUUUCUGAAGUUUGAGAUAUGAAGGAGAGGAAAAUACAUGGCAAGCUUCCAAGAAGUAACUACACGGAUUUAUCACAUAUGUAUUUGUCUUUGUUAUUUCACCUGAAUGAUCUGUUUGAUCCUGUUGCCUGCUUGUUAAGAAUAAAGGGCAAUUCUCUCACUACAAGACAAGUGUAGGUCCCCGUAUUUGAUGAUGGGUGUAGUGAAUGCUGUUGCGAAAGCCCAUUCCCUUGAGAGUUGAAGCUAUCUAAUUUUAGAGGUCCACCCACAACUCUUGCCUGAAUAAGAAAAGUAGUUAUGCAGAAAUGGAAAUGAUUUUGAAUUAGGUAUGGUCAACAGUCUGGUUUUCCAACAUGAGAUAUAGUACAAAGUGGUCACUAGUAAGAUUAAAACAUUUGAAUUCUUGGCUGUACAUAACCUUCAUAACAUGACACAUUACGUUGAGAAAGAAAGCAGAAAUGGAAGUUCAGUAAAAAUAUGGAGAGAGUUGAAAAUUCUGGAACUACUUUUGGGACAAAAGUUUGAAAUUCUUUUCAGAAAGCAGUAACUGCUUUAGGAAACACAAUGCCUCUGCUAAAUGGCCGGAAAUAAUGUGGUUCUUCCCCCACAAAAGCUCACUGGUAGCAACUUUCUUAAUAUAUCAUUGGUAAUACUUAAAUUUCUGUCAUUUGUGUUUUUAUUUACCAAAUUAAAUGACCCUAAUAUUAUCACUUUUAAUUUGUGAUUUCUAACAUUGCUAAUUUCCCCCCCUUAUAGAUUAUGUAUCAUUUAAGAAAUACAAAUACAAAGCUAUGAGCUUUGUUGGUAAAGCUCAAUUGGAAAAGCUUUGGCCUAUGGCUCCAACUAAACUUGUCCUGCCUUCUUUCCUAUACCUGAAGCUCACCUUAGGAGGGAGCUAUUUAAACCAACAGGUUCAAGAAUUGUGAAUGACCGAUGAGUACUGGGUGUUACGUGUAAGUGAUGAAUCACUAAAUUCUCCUGAAACUAAUAUUACAGUAUAUGUUAAUGAAGUAGAAUUUAAAUAAAGAUUUGGAAGGAAAACAAAAAACAAAAACAAAACGUGCGUGACUUCCAUACCAUGUUAAACAGAGAAGCCAAGAUUCCAAGAGAGUCUGAUAGGCCUCUGAUAGGCCUGGCCUGGACUCUGACUCGGUUUUGCUUACCGUAGGUACAGGAAUGAAAACAACAUGUUCCGAUUGGGCCUGUCGAGGUCUGAAACAGAGCCCCAGAUGGGACUGAACCACACCCGGUCUUCAGGACUCUUCUCCCGGUGUCAUCAAUUGGACAGAGAAGUCAAGCCUUGAUGGGAAUUUUACACAGAGGGGUACAGGUCUGUGAUUCAUCAGUCUUCCACAAUUCACAGCGCUCACCGUAGCACAUACCCGCCCCAAUGUCUAUCACCCAGCCACGUCAUCCCUCCCACCCCCCCACCACUCCAGCAACCCUCAGUUUAUUUCCUGAGAUUGAGAGUCUCUUAUGGUUUGUCUCCGUCUGGUUUCAUCUUGUUUCAUUUUUCUCUCCCUUCCCCUAUGAUUCUCUGCCUUGUUUCUCAAAUUUAGAGAGUGACCCUGAGACAUUAUUGCCUUCUUCGAAAAUUUAGAUAUUCUGGUUUCAUUUCCUUGUGUCUCGUGUCCCAUGCUUUUGGCACUUUGGUGCAAGAUUGUGGUCUAGAGAAAACGUCUACUCCCAAAUUCCUCCGAGUGUGUUCUCUCCAGAACAGUGGAGUGAAACACAUUCUCCUCUGUCAGUGCAUGAGGAAUGGGGUAAUGAACGUCACCCUGCUCCCUUAGCACUAUGUUUAACUUACUAAUAUGCCACGUCUUACUUGUUCUGAUAGUAGUAAUUGUCAUCACUCUUCCAUAGACUUUUCAUUCCUACCUAGGCAGGCUGAGUUGGACCUGGCUAGGAAGUAGUUGACCAGAACCAAGAUUCUAAGAAAAUAAAAUACCACGGUCGCAGUAAGAGCCAAUGAGUCAGGAUUACUCUUUGUCAAGAAGGAACAGAAGGAUACCAAAGUUUAGCAAGACUUUAAGAAGAUUCUAGACAUCACAGAUGAAAGUAGUCAAAAGUUAGUAUUCCAAAGAGUGGCGCCAUUUGAAAAGACAGAACACAAGCACAAACAAAUAAAAAAGAUUCCAAGACACUUAAAUUAAGGGCAGAAACUUUUCUUUUCUCUCUUACUCCUUCCUGUCUCAGUAGGAUCUGACCACUGGUGUAAGGAAAGAGACUGCAGCUGGGAAGGAAAUGAUGCCAAGAGCUGCAGCUGCAAAGAGGGUUUGUUUUUUUUUUUUUUAACUUUUAUAGUGUAAAAUUAAUACAUACACACAUUUUAAAAAACAAGCAGUACAGAGUGGUACCAAAUGAAAAGUAAAUUCCCUGCCUGAACCUGUUCCCCAACUCCUCAUUUCCAGCUCCCUAUUUUUAAAUAUUUUCUGUUCUGCUGGUGGUUAUCACAAUACCUCUGAAACCUAUGUUAAUACUUUCAUUUCUUGUUUUAUGAACUUGAAAUAGCAUCUAUUGAAAGAUGAGAAACUUAUUUCUUUUAUCCAUCUGCUUCUACGUUUUCCAGUUACAUUGUUUUGGUUUUUCUGGUUAUUACCAUUUUAAAGAGUAUGCUUACGUCUGUAUUUUGUUACAUCAAUUUUAGACAGUGUAUCUUGAUUUUUUGCUAUAUAAAUAAAUAGGUGAAAAAGAUCUGUGACAUUAUCUCUUCCACGUCUCUGCUGCCUUAAUAUUCAGACUUCCAUUUUUUUUAUAUUAUCAAUGUUAGUAUUAGUCAGAUUCUUUUACAGUUGUUGUCUUCCAAGUUUUGUUUAUACGUUGAUUCUACAAAUUAAAAUAGCAUUUCCAUUAUUCCAAUGAUUAAAUUACUCCUUACCGAAGGACCAAAUAGCUCUACUUACUGAGAAAGAAAGGGUAAUCUUAUGUCAUUAAAACUGAAAGAUGAAUAUUCCAAGUGUCAAAGUCAAGUGGGAUUCCUUAAACUCAAUCUUCAAGACUUUCUAGUACAUUUAAUUUGGUCGAUGAUAUCUUUAAUUUCCAAAAAAUCUUUUUCUUUGUUCUUAUUUUAUAGCCACCCAUUCUUUGGCUUCUUGACUCUGAAGAUGUUAGUUGGUUUUGUUUUCUUAAUCAGUUUUUUUUUUUUUCCCCCUGUUCUCUUACUUGUUUUCUUUAGGAUUCGACUGUUAACAGUAUCUGUUCCACUUAGACCUUCUCAUUUUUGUUUUUCACUUACUCUAAAUUUUCUGGGUUUUUUUCCCCCAUAUAUGUGAGUGAUGAAAAAGGUUGACCAGUAUUGAUAGCAUGAUUUGCCACUGCAGUAUUAGACCUCUUUCUUGAAUGAAAAGAUGGAUGGCAGGUUCUGUGUACAUAUAAGCUAGUAGUACUGUUUUAGGGUACAUUUAGAUAUUUUGUUCACCAUGUAUUUUUUGCAAAUUGACUUUUUAAAAUACUAUAUUAAAAUUAAAAUAUCAUAUCUUAUUUACUUAGUUUUUUGGUGCACCUCAAAUUUUGUGUGCCUGGUUUCACUCACUGUAGUAUCUAUUUGGGCCAAGGGCCUGAAAGGUUAAAUGUACUUUCCAGGUAUGGUCAGUAGAGGGCAGCAAAGGGUAGUGGAGUGAGCACUCGCAGCCAAGGCCUGGGCAUCCCUUUUUUCCCCUCUAUAGAGAUAAAAAUCCAUCAGUGGUAGUAGAAAGUCCAGAGUGCCAGAAUCAGGAGAGAAAUUACUCAUAGGGAUACUGAUCCAGAAUGGGGAUCAGCUGAGGAGGCACAAUUCACAGCCUGGUAUCUAUCUUAGCGAUGUGAACCACUAGACAUCAGGAGGGGAAUCAUUCGACUUUCCCAGUCCUGACGCCUCCUACUCCCUGCCUGUCUAAAACCUCAGAUCUGGCUCCGUAAAAUAACAGGAGUCUCCUGUCCAUCUUGGGAGCUGAUGCAAACUUCCUGACUGAGAGUUAGGACAUGGUACCAGCAGUGGCUAAGUGUUCCUCAACCAGCCAUUUCAGGGAGGAGAGACUGAGUGGGAUAGGGGCACCAUAGGCAAACACUGACAGCUGAUGAAAACACUCACAUAUGUGUCAGUUAAAUAAUUUGGGAGCCGACCUAAAUGGGAUGUGGCUUAAAAUAUAUUUUCUUUCCUCCUCCAGAAGGAAAACAUUGUUUAGGUGAGGAAAAACUAUAUGACUUUGAAAUUAGACAAACUUGACUCUGCAGAUUAUUUGGUAUGUGGUUCUCAGUUACUUCACUUUAUUGAGCUUCAGUUUCUCCAUCUAUAAAAUGGAAAUAAUGAUUCUUACCUCACAAAUCUGCUGCAAGCAAAUGAGAUGAUGUCCAUAAACUGCCUGGCAAAGAACUUGGCAAUUUGUAGUUACUCAAUUGGCAUUACUACCUGUUCUCUCUCCCUGUCUUUAUUCAUGGGGGGAAUACCCAUUAUAUUGUUGCUAUUUUUGAAUAAAAAGUCUCAUUGUCUCCUGUAAGCAUAACUAAAUUAUUUGAAGGAUUAAUCUGUUAGGUACCAUACUAACAUUUCUGCAGUAUGAUCUCAUUUAAUUCUCACAACAACCCUAUGAAGCAGAUGCUUUUAUCAUCAUUUUGAUUUUGCAGAUAAGGACAUUGAGGCUUUAGAAGUAUAACUGGUUUACCCAGUGUCAUGUAGGUAGUAAAUCAUAAGGAAGGAUUAAAACUAGGUAAUUGGAUUCCAGAGCUCAUGCUCUUGACACUACAUAAUGUUUUCCAAUAUACACAUUUAAUCAAAGAUUUAAAAUUGUAAGGGAAUAAAUCAGAGAAGAAACUAAAAAAUACAUGGAGACAAAUGAAAAUGAAAACACCAUGGUCCAAAAACUUUGGAAUCCAGCAAAAGCUGUUCUAUGAGGCAAGUUUAUAGCAAUCAAGGCCUACCUCAAGAAGCAAGAAAAACAUUGAAGAAACAACCUAAACUUACACCUACAGAAGCUAGAAAAAGAACAAACAAAACCCAAAACCUAAAGAAGGAAGAAAAUAAUAAAGAUUAGAGCAGAAAUAAAUGAAAUAGAAACUAAAAAAAACCCAAUAGAGCAGAUCAAUGAAACCAGGAGCUGGUUCUUUGAAAAGAUCAACCAAAUUGAUAAACCUUUAGCCAGACUCAUAAAGGAGAGAGAGAGAGAGGGAGAGGACUCAAAUAAACAAAAUCAGAAGGGAAAGAGGAGAAAGGACAACCAACACCACAGAAAUAUGAAGGAUUAUAAGAAUAUUAUGAAAAAUUGUAUGCAAACAAAUUGAACAACCUAGAAGAAAUGAUAAAUCCCUAGAAACAUAUAACCUCCCAAAACUGAAUCAGGAAGAAAUAGAAAACUUGAACAGACUGAUUACCAGGAAUGAAAUUGAAUCAGUAAUCAGAAAACUCCCAACAAACAAAAGUCCAGGAGCAGAUGGCUUCACAGGUGGAUUUUACCGAACAUUUAAAGAAGAGUUAGAAGGAAAGCUUCCAAAAUCACAAAUUCAUUCUGUGAGGCCAGCAUUACCCUGAUACCAAAACCAGGUAAAGACACUUAAAAAAAAAAAAAAAAGAGGACGGCUGGGUGGCUCAGUCAGUUAAGCGUCUGCCUUCAGCUCUGGUCAUGAUCCCAGAGUCCUGGGAUCGAGUCCCCCAUCGGGCUCCUGGCUCAGCGGGGAGCCUGCUUCUCCCUCUCCCACUCCCCCUGCUUGUGCGCUCUCGCUCUCUCACUCUUGCUCUAUCGCAAAUAAAUAAAAUCUUUUUUAAAAAAGAGAGAACUACAGGCCAAUAUCUCUGAUGAACACAGAUGCAAAAAUCCUCAACAAAAUAAUAGCCAACCCAAUCCAACAAUACAUUAAAAAAUCAUUCACCGUGAUCAAGUGGGAUUUAUUCCUAGGAUGCAAACGUGAUUCAAUAUUCACAAAUCAAUUAACAUCAUACAUCACGUCAACAAGAGAAAGGAUAAAAAGCACAUGAUUAUUUUAAUAGAUGCAGAAAAGCAUUUGACAAAGUACAAUAUCCAUUCAUGAUAAAAACUCUCAACGAAGUAGAUUUAGAGGGAACAUAUUUCAAUAUAAUAAAGACCAUAUAAAAACCUACAGCUAAAAUCAUACUCAAUGGUGAAAAACUAAAAGCUUUUCCCCAAGAUCAAGAGCAAGACAGGGGUGUUCAUUCUCACUACUUGUAUUCAACAUAGUACUGGAAGUCCUAGCCCCGGGAAUAAGACAAGAAAAAGAAAUAAGUGGCAUCCAAAUGGGUAAGGAAGAAGUAAAACUUUGACUAUUUGCAAGUGACAUGAUACUAUAUAUACAGAAAACCCUCCAGACUCCACCAAAAAUAGACUAGAACUGGUAAAUGCGUUCAGGAAAAUCACAGGAUACAAAAUCAAUAUACAGAAAUCUGCAUUUUUAUACACUAAUAAUGAAGAAGCAGAAAGAGAAAUUAAGAAACAGUCCCAUUCACAAUUAUACCAAAAAUAAUAAACUACCUAGGAAUAAACUUAAACAAGGAAGUGAAAGACCUAUAUUCUGAAAACUAUAAAACACUGAUGAAAAAAAAUUGAAGACAACAUGAAUGGAAAAAUAUUCUAUGCUUAUUGAUGGAAGAACAAAUAUUUUAAAAUGUCCCAUACCCAAAAUGAUCUACAGAUUUAAUGCAAUCCCUAUCAAAACACCAAUAGCAUUUUUCACAGAACUAGAACAAAUAAUUCUAAAAUAUGUAUGGUACCACAAAAGGCCCCAAAUAGCCAAAGCAAUCUUGAGAAAGAACAAAAUUGGAGGUAUCACAAUCCCAGAUUUCAGGGUAUAUCACAAAGCUGUAAUAAUCCAAACAGUAUGGUACUGACGGAAAAGUAGACAAUAGAUCAACGGAACAGAAUAGAGAAUCCAGAAAUAAACCCAUGAUUUUAUGUACAAGCAGGGAGGCAAGAAUAUACAAUGGGGAAAAGAUAGUCUCUUCAAAAACUGGUGUUGGGAAAACUGGACAGGUACAUCCAAAAGAAUGAAACUGGACCACUCUCUUACACUAUACACAAAAAUAAAAUUCAAAAUGGAUUAAAGACCUAAAUGUAAGACUUGAAACCAAAAAAGUCCGAGCAGAGAGCACAGAUAGUAAUUUCUCAGACACUGGUUGUAACAACAUCUUCCUAGAUAUGUCCCCUGAGGCAAGGGAGACAAAAGCAAAAAUAAAUUAUUGGGACUACAUCAAAAUAAAAGGCUUCUGCACAGCAAAGAAAACCACCAAUAAAACGAGAGGACAAGUUACUGAAUGGGAGAAGAUAUUUGCAAAUGAUAUAAAAGGUUAGUAUCCAAAAUAUAUAAAGAGCUUAUACAACUCAACACCAAAAAACCAAAUGAUCCAAUUUAAAAAUAGGCGGAAGACAUCAACAGACAUUUCUCCAAAGAAGACACAGAUGGCCAACAGACACGAAAAGAUGCUCAAAUCACUCAUCAUCAGGGAAAUGCAAAUGAAAACCACAAUGAGCUAUCACCUCAUACCUGUCCAAAUGGCUAAAAUCAACAACACAAGAAACAACAGGUUUUGGCAAGAUUGUGGAGAAAAAGGAACUCUUGUGCACUGUUGGUGGGAACGCCAACUGGUGCAGCCCCCUGUGGAAAACAAUAUGGAGGUUCCUCAAAAAAUUAAAGAUAGAGUUGCUAUAUGAUCCAUAACUGAGUAUUUACCCCCCAAAUAGAAAAACACUAAUUUGUGGGGUGUCUGGGUGGCUCAGUCGGUUAAGCAUCUAGCACAUGGUUUCAGCUCAGGUCAUAAUCUCGGGAUCAUGGGGUCGAACCCCACAUUGGGUUCUGUGCUUAGCACAGAGUCUGCUUGAGAUUCCCUCUCCCUCUUCCUCUGCCCCUGCCCCCACCUGUCUGCUCACCCUCUCUCAUUCUCAAAUAAAUAAAUAAAUAAAUAAAUAAAUAAAUAAAUAAAUAAAUAAAAUCUUUAAAAAGAGAAAAACACUAAUUUAAAAACAUAUAUGCACCCCUAUGUUUGUUGCAACAUUAUUUACAGUAGCCAAAUUAUGGAGCAAGCCCAAGUGUCCACUGAUAGAUGAAUGGAUGAAGAAGAUGUGAUAUACACACACACACACACACACACACAAUGGAAUAUUAUUCAGCAAUAAAAAAGAUGAAAUCUUGCCAUUUGCAACAACAUGGAUGGAUUUAGAGGGUAUAAUGCUAAGUGAAAUAAGUCAGAGAAAGACAAAUACCAUAUGAUUUCACUUAUAUGUGGAAUUUAAGAAACAAAACAAAUAAAAAAGAGAUAAACCAAAAGACAGACUCUUAGCUAUAGAAAACAAACUGAUAGUUAUCAGAAGGAAGGUGGGUGGGGGGAUGGAUGGUAGGUGAUGGGGAUUAAGAGUACACUUAUCAUGAUGAGCACUGAGUAAUGUAUAGAAUUAUCGAAUCACUAUAUUGUACACCUGAAACUAAUAAUAACACUUAAUUAUACUGGAAUUGAAAUAAAAUAAAUAUAAAAAAAUUAAAAGAAAGAAAUUGAAUUAAGAAAAUAGUCUAGGGGCACCUGCAUGGCUCAUUCAGUUAAGCAUCUGCCUUCGGCUCAGGUCGUGAUCUCAGGGUCCUGGGAUCAAGCCCCACAUCGGGCUCCCUGCUCAUAGGGGAGUCUGCUUCUCCCCCUCCCCCCGACCCCCCUCCCUGCUCAUGCUCUCUCUCUCUCUCUCACUUCUCUCUCAAAUAAAUAAAAUCUUCAAAAAAAAUUUUUAAAUAGUCUUGUCUUUGCAACAUGCUUAAAAAUAUUGGUAUUAUGGGCAUAGGAUUACCUUAUACUAUCUCUUCUAUUUGAUAUUUAGGGUGAAAAGUUAAGUGUUCAAUGAAAUAGAUGAAAACAAACCCUAUCACUGUGAUUCUAUUUAGAGCUCAUUCAUCAAAUUAAAAUAAGUAGCAAUGGUAUUUUAGAAGAAAUUAAGCUUUAGCUAUUACUGUAAAUGUAACUAUUACAUGACUAAGGAAAGCUCCCUUUAUCUUUCUAAGAAAACUUUUCUCUCCUUGGCUUUACUACAAGGGGAAGAUAGAAUCAGAACACUACAUCUUUCUCAAUUAAUUCCUGAAGAUUAGUAACUCACAAUCCUGGUUACAUACAAGAAUCACUCAAAAAAUUUUUCAAAAUACAGGUUUUCUGGAUCUGAUGAAUCAGAACCUCUGGGGGUUAGAGAGGGAGUGCCUGAAAACUCCCCCAAGUGAGACUGAUGCAUAUCAGUAUUGAUAAGCAGAUACUAGAUUCUAGAAGGAGAGUUUUCCUGGUCUCUAAAUCUCUAACCUCUCUGAAGGGAGAGGCAGAGAAAUGGGACAUAAUCUGGGAGUUGGGGAAGGUGCAGAGAUAAGUUUGCCUACAUUUUUACAUUAAAUAACUGUUGACAGAUGCUUGAUGGGAGGCCAGAAAGUGUUGCCCCAUGAGCCUCCAUGGUUCUAAUACAAUCAAACAUGUCCAGACUAGCACUUGUCCCUUUAAAAGUGGUGAGAAGGGGCAUCUGGGUGGCUCAGUCGGUUAAGCUUCUGACUCUUGAUCUCGGCUCAGGUCGUGAUCUUGGUUCAGGUCAUGAUCUCAGGGCUGUGAGAUCGAGCCCCAGGUCAGGCUCCACUCUCAGCACUGUUUGUGCUUGUCCCUCUCCCUCUGCUACCCCCCACCCAAAUAAAUAAAUAAAAUCUUAAAAAAAAUAAAAGUGGUGAAAAGUCUGAAGGCCACUAUCUACAUGUCACUUCUGUGCUAGUUUGGUUUUAAGAUGAGAGGCCUCAGUAAAGUCUAAAAGGUCUACCAGGACUUGUGCUCUUGCCUCUACCUACUUUUUCAGGCAUAUUUCAUGCUCCUGUACCUUCUGCCUGUAUCUCCAAACUAGCAAACUCUUCCAUGUCUCUGAAACGUCACAUAUUCGCAUUCUGUC